This is a long non-coding RNA of Ictalurus punctatus (channel catfish), 892 nucleotides long. Lineage: Eukaryota; Metazoa; Chordata; Actinopteri; Siluriformes; Ictaluridae. The record is from Ensembl.
CUUGAGUGAAAUUCUCCACCCAGCUGGAUUCUCAAAAGAAUGUUCUUGUCCCUAAGCAAUCAUUUAUAUAUUUUUUUCGAAACCCAAUGAAUUCACAUGUAGGAACUGCAGGAAGGGAGUGUCGAACAAUGUACAGUACCUCCCCACAUUACUCAGAUGAGUCCUUAUGUGAGAUUGGAAGCGAGAUAAUGGCAGUCAUGCAGCUGCACUUGCUAUGUGUGGGCACUGCAUUAGCCGCAGGGGAUGCUACAGCUUGCCAGAUUCGCUUAGCAGAUAUUAGCUUCUCAAGCUUUCAACUCGAGAGAGUUUCACUGUUUUGUUUUUUUCCCACGAUAAAGGACCGCCAUGAGGCUUCGUACGAGUUGUGGAUGACACAACUGGUCCACCAUGAAAUCAAGACCCAACCAGGAGUGGUGGUGCGACAGCGGCCCUAUCGAGUCCCGGAGGCCCGCCGCCAGGCUAUCGAGGAGGAGGUUAGCCGAAUGUUGCGAGAUAAUAUCAUCGAGAAGUCCAACAGCCCCUGGUCCAGCCCCAUUGUCGUCGUGCCAAAACCCGACGGAAGUAUGCGGCUAUGCAACGACUUCCGGAAGCUGAACCAGAAGACUCGGACCUGAACGAAGCCUCCACUCCCUAGCUGCACACGCGUCGUUGCCUGACUGCCGAGAAGAGCCUCGAUUCCUCCGGAAAGCAUCGGCGCGACGCCGGAAGCCCUGCAGCCCACUGAUCCCGCACCACACGCUGCCAUGCCCACACGCAAGCACACGAGAGCAUGCACGUACACCCUCGCACUCACGCACACCCCCAGAACCUCACAAAUAAAGAAAACUUUCGUUUCGCAGUUACAAUGGCCUCCUGUGUGUCUGUGCUCCACCCACCGCGGACUAAUAUCCUU